Long non-coding RNA from Episyrphus balteatus (marmalade hoverfly), 749 nucleotides. RefSeq lists it as uncharacterized. The transcript has 3 exons. NCBI's taxonomy places the organism in Eukaryota, Metazoa, Arthropoda, Insecta, Diptera, Syrphidae. The record is from RefSeq and is a predicted model, not a curated record.
UUUAAAAUGCCUGUAAUCGCCCAGAAAUAGUAUAAAUUUGAAUGAUGCAUUGUUUUAUUAAGUAAUAAGCCUUCCCGUAAAUGACGUUCACGAAAAUAACUUAGAUUUUUGAACAAGCGUUCCCAGAAUGACGUUUAAUUGAUGUACACUACUAAUAAAUGAAACUUAUUGUUAACAUUAUUUGAAGCUCUAAAAUUAAAGUUACUUGAAAAGUUCAGAAAGCCCUCAGAAGUAGUUUUUUUCAGAAAAUUCAUUGAGCAACAGCUUGUCAUGACAGUAGGGCUUGGUUGUCCAGAACUAUGAUGCUUUUAAUCUCAAGGUGCCAUAAGUUAACAAAAUCUUUAUUUGAAAGCCUAAUGAAGAAAGUCUAAAAUAUCUUUAAAAUGUAGUGUAGCCGGAAUCUUUUUGGGCCAAUGACUAAAAUCAAUUUUCAGAUCAAAUUCCUGUUCUUCUUUAAGAACCUAUUUCUAGACAUUUGCUCAAGUGAACUAACUUAAAGCAAAAUAACAAAUCAUUUAUCAACUCUAAAUGAUUCAUCCACUUUAACUUAUUGCGUCAAUUCUCACAUAUUACAAGUCCCCGUGCGUAUAGUCACCAUAAAUGCCAAUUAAUCUUGUACCUAAUUUCUCAUGCUACCGCCUAAUUUAUCCUCAAACAACACCAACUCCAUCAUCUAGUUUUUGCCUAACUUCUUCAAUUAAUUUACAUUUCAAUAGUUUCAUGCCGCACAAAGUAAUUUAUUUCAAACG